RNAcentral lists this ribosomal RNA (253 nucleotides) under uncultured bacterium. RNAcentral's name for it is "partial 16S ribosomal RNA". It matches the Rfam family "Bacterial small subunit ribosomal RNA", at positions 524 to 776 of the family's 1533-position model. The record is from RNAcentral.
UACGUAGGGGGCAAGCGUUGUCCGGAUUUAUUGGGCGUAAAGAGCGUGUAGGCGGCCAGGCAGGUCCGCUGUGAAAACUCGAGGCUCAACCUCGAGAGGUCGGUGGAAACCGUCUGGCUAGAGUCCGGAAGAGGAGAGUGGAAUUCCCGGUGUAGCGGUGAAAUGCGUAGAGAUGUGGAGGAACACCGAUGGCGAAGGCAGCCCCCUGGGUAAAUACUGACGCUCAUGCACGAAAGCGUGGGGAGCAAACAGG